ACUCCUACGGGAGGCAGCAGUGGGGAAUUUUGGACAAUGGGCGCAAGCCUGAUCCAGCAAUGCCGCGUGCGGGAAGAAGGCCUUCGGGUUGUAAACCGCUUUUGUACGGAACGAAAAGGCUCUGGCUAAUACCUGGGGCUGAUGACGGUACCGUAAGAAUAAGCACCGGCUAACUACGUGCCAGCAGCCGCGGUAAUACGUAGGGUGCGAGCGUUAAUCGGAAUUACUGGGCGUAAAGCGUGCGCAGGCGGUCUUGUAAGACAGAGGUGAAAUCCCUGGGCUCAACCUAGGAAUGGCCUUUGUGACUGCAAGGCUGGAGUGCGGCAGAGGGGAGUGAAUUCCGCGUGUAGCAGUGAAAUGCGUAGAUAUGCGGAGGAACACCGAUGGCGAAGGCAGUCCCCUGGGCCUCGCACUGACGCUCAUGCACGAAAGCGUGGGGAGCAAACAGGAUUAGAUACCCUGGUAGGUG
Molecule: ribosomal RNA, 469 nt
Filed under: uncultured bacterium
Lineage: Bacteria
Description: bacterial SSU rRNA
Rfam family: Bacterial small subunit ribosomal RNA
Source: RNAcentral